This 377-nucleotide long non-coding RNA is filed under the name Salvia miltiorrhiza (redroot sage). RNAcentral's name for it is "long non-coding RNA (SMIL_LNC010246)". The record is from RNAcentral. Lineage: Eukaryota; Viridiplantae; Streptophyta; Magnoliopsida; Lamiales; Lamiaceae.
CUACUUAUAUGUCCCAGUUGAGACAAAUUGUGGUUCUACUAUGCUCGAUAUUAUAGUUUCAUAUGUCUCAUCUAUAUACAUAAUUUAUUUCUACGAUGAUGAGUGUGGUCUGUUACUUGACAAGUACUAGUGUCUAUGUCAAUGCCAUGUUUCCUGCUUGGAACUUUGGUGUGUAAUUCUGGUAAUAUAUGAAGCUGCAUUUUACUAUCUCUCUCUCUCUCUCUCUCUUAAUGAGGAAUUGUGGAAAGUUUUUAGACUCUUCUUUGAAUUAUUGAAUACUGACAAAUUGUAGUUUGAAAUAUGAGACAUGUGACGUUAACGAGUAAACGGUGGAGUGUGACUUUUCGAUACUUGGAACACAAAAUUCUUGAUGUUCC